UAGCUGUAGAUGCUCUAAACAUGCAGUCGACGGGGGUAGUGAUACCCCAGUGGCGGACGGGUGAGUAACGCGUAGGAAUCUGCCUGGUAGAGGGGGACAACCUGGGGAAACCCAGGCUAAUACCGCAUGAGCUCGCGAGAGGAAAGCGGGGGACCUUCGGGCCUCGCGCUACCGGAUGAGCCUACGUCCGAUUAGCUGGUUGGUGGGGUAACGGCCCACCAAGGCGACGAUCGGUAGCUGGUCUGAGAGGACGAUCAGCCACACUGGGACUGAGACACGGCCCAGACUCCUACGGGAGGCAGCAGUGGGGAAUAUUGGACAAUGGGCGCAAGCCUGAUCCAGCAAUGCCGCGUGGGUGAAGACGGCCUGCGGGUUGUAAAGCCCUUUGGGUGGGGAAGAACGGUGGUUUGCGAACAGCGGACUGCUCUGACAUUACCCACGGAACAAGCACCGGCUAACUCCGUGCCAGCAGCCGCGGUAAUACGGAGGGUGCGAGCGUUAAUCGGAAUUACUGGGCGUAAAGCGUGCGUAGGCGGAAGGGUCAGUCAGCCGUGAAAGCCCCGGGCUCAACCUGGGAACGGCGGUUGAGACGGCCCGUCUGGAGUGGGCUAGAGGACUGUGGAACUCCCGGUGUAGCGGUGAAAUGCGUAGAGAUCGGGAAGAACACCGAUGGCGAAGGCAGCGGUCUGGGGCCACACUGACGCUGAGGCACGAAAGCGUGGGGAGCAAACAGGAUUAGAUACCCUGUAGUCCACGCGGUAAACGAUGAGCACUAGACGCCGGUGGGGUGACCUGUCGGUGUCGCAGCUAACGCGCUAAGUGCUCCGCCUGGGGAGUACGGCCGCAAGGUUG
RNAcentral lists this ribosomal RNA (852 nucleotides) under uncultured bacterium. RNAcentral describes it as "bacterial SSU rRNA". It matches the Rfam family "Bacterial small subunit ribosomal RNA", at positions 37 to 896 of the family's 1533-position model. The record is from RNAcentral.